This is a long non-coding RNA of Neopsephotus bourkii (Bourke's parrot), 394 nucleotides long. RefSeq lists it as uncharacterized. The record is from RefSeq and is a predicted model, not a curated record. NCBI's taxonomy places the organism in Eukaryota, Metazoa, Chordata, Aves, Psittaciformes, Psittacidae. The transcript has 3 exons.
UGGCUUUGCUGUCUGAGGAUGCCCAAACCAGCUUUGCAUCAGUGGACCUUUGCAGGACAAGAAGUAGGAGUGUAUGAGGAACUAGAAGAAAGAGAAGCAGAAGGCCCUACACAGCAAUGGAUUAACACCAAAAGAGACUGGAUGCUGGACAUUAGGAAAGAAAGCGAUCCAUGACAAUAAAUGGAGUUGUAAGCGUUCCUCUCUUUUACUUGUAGUACUGAGAAUUUGACAGCUGGUACCCAGCAGUCAGGCCAGCAGGUUGCCUGCUGUUGGCUUUGCAAACCAUUCUUCAGGCACUGCUCCACAUAGGAUUUGGGAUCGCAUCCGGAGAGGAGGAUCUCACCAAGGAGAGCGAUGUAGGCAAUGGCCAGACGCAGCGUGUCGAUUUUGGAGA